GAUAAAAAAAAACCAUGCAGAUGAUAGCAACACACUAACAACAGUACCAGAUAUCACACAGAUAACAGCAUCAGACAAUAAUUCCAACCAAGAGGAAAUCAUGACUACAAAUAGCAGAGGCAAUAACAGACCAAAACGCAACACACACAAGCCCAAGUACCUCAGUGACUUCGUAUAAGGACCAGGGGAGCUGCAAGCCCGAUAGCAGAUUCUAGAAUUCCUUCUACUUCACGCUUAAAGCUUUUUCCAC
RNAcentral lists this long non-coding RNA (250 nucleotides) under Glycine max (soybean). Its description in RNAcentral is "long non-coding RNA (GMAX_LNC003456)". Lineage: Eukaryota; Viridiplantae; Streptophyta; Magnoliopsida; Fabales; Fabaceae. The record is from RNAcentral.